ACUCAAAUGAAUUGACGGGGGCCCGCACAAGCGGCGGAGCAUGUGGAUUAAUUCGAUGCAACGCGAAGAACCUUACCUGGGCUUGACAUGCACUGGAAACCAGUAGAGAUAUUGGCCCCCUUGUGGCCGGUGUACAGGUGGUGCAUGGCUGUCGUCAGCUCGUGUCGUGAGAUGUUGGGUUAAGUCCCGCAACGAGCGCAACCCUCGUUCCAUGUUGCCAGCGGGUAAUGCCGGGGACUCAUGGGAGACUGCCGGGGUCAACUCGGAGGAAGGUGGGGAUGACGUCAAGUCAUCAUGCCCCUUAUGUCCAGGGCUUCACACAUGCUACAAUGGCCGGUACAAAGGGCUGCGAAACCGUGAGGUGGAGCGAAUCCCAUAAAGCCGGUCUCAGUUCGGAUCGGGGUCUGCAACUCGACCCCGUGAAGUCGGAGUCGCUAGUAAUCGCAGAUCAGCAACGCUGCGGUGAAUACGUUCCCGGGCCUUGUACACACCGCCCGU
RNAcentral lists this ribosomal RNA (498 nucleotides) under uncultured bacterium. Its description in RNAcentral is "partial 16S ribosomal RNA". It matches the Rfam family "Bacterial small subunit ribosomal RNA", at positions 899 to 1397 of the family's 1533-position model. The record is from RNAcentral.